CUCGCCCAUUUCUCCCUUGCAC
This 22-nucleotide microRNA is filed under the name Heligmosomoides polygyrus. RNAcentral's name for it is "hpo-miR-10031a-3p". The record is from miRBase by way of RNAcentral. Lineage: Eukaryota; Metazoa; Nematoda; Chromadorea; Rhabditida; Heligmosomidae.